This 699-nucleotide ribosomal RNA is filed under the name uncultured bacterium. RNAcentral's name for it is "bacterial SSU rRNA". It matches the Rfam family "Bacterial small subunit ribosomal RNA", at positions 8 to 682 of the family's 1533-position model. The record is from RNAcentral.
AGAGUUUGAUCCUGGCUCAGAACGAACGCUGGCGGCGUGCCUAACACAUGCAAGUCGAGCGCGAAAGGUUCCUUCGGGGACCCGGUAGAGCGGCGAACGGGUGAGUAACGCGUGGGUAAUCUGCCCUUUGGUGGGGAAUAACCAUUGGAAACGGUGGCUAAUGCCGCAUCAGCUCUAGGACCCUUCGGUGUCCUUGAGGAAAGCAUGCCUCUGCUUCAAGCAUGCGCCAAAGGAGGAGCCCGCGUCCCAUUAGCUAGUUGGUGGGGUAAUGGCCUACCAAGGCGACGAUGGGUAGCCGGCCUGAGAGGGUGAUCGGCCACACUGGGACUGAGACACGGCCCAGACUCCUACGGGAGGCAGCAGUGGGGAAUUUUGCGCAAUGGGGGAAACCCUGACGCAGCGACGCCGCGUGCGGGAUGAAGGCCUUAGGGUCGUAAACCGCUGUCGUACGGGACGAACCCCCGGUGGAUGAAUAAGCCAUCGGGCUGACGGUACCGUGCAAGAAAGCCCCGGCUAACUCCGUGCCAGCAGCCGCGGUAAUACGGAGGGGGCUAGCGUUGUUCGGAAUCACUGGGCGUAAAGGGUCCGUAGGCGGCCAAGUAAGUCGGAGGUGAAAGCCCUAGGCUCAACCUAGGAAUUGCCCCCGAAACUGCUCGGCUAGAGUCCGGUAGAGGGAGACGGAAUUCCCGGUGUAGCGGU